GGGGCCGCUGCGCGUACGCUGCUCAGAAAACCCGCCGCCAGUGCCAGCGGGAAAGACACGACGAGCUGGUCGCCGCGGCUAUAAAUAGGGCCGGGCGCCUCGGCCUCCGGGGUGGCGGGGGCCGGUAGGGGGUGGGGCAUCACCGGCACCGCCCACUUAACCCCUCCGGGCCCGGCGCCGCCGCCCUCCCUGCCGCCCGGCUGAGCGCGCUGACUCGCGUCCCCUCGCGUGCUCUCGCCCCCGCGCUCCAGGCUGAGUCACCGCCGCCCGCGCCUGUUCCCUCUCUCCGCCCUUCCGGGGCUUCCUGCGGCCUCCCGCCGACGCCCGAGCCGGGGACACCGGGUGACAAGGGUCCUCUCCGAGGGGCGGCCCUGCCGUGCGCUGGGAUCGGGGGCCUCCAGGGCCUGCUCACCACCCACUCGGGCCCGGCUGCUGAACAAAACCCGGUGGUGGCGGAGGAAGCCACCCUUUUCGCGCCAGACUUCCCAACUGCUCCCGGGCGACUCGAUGAAACCUGAGUUUCUGUUAUUGGAUAGCACCCCCCAUGCCCCGUGGGCUUGGCAAAGACAUUCCAGACAGCAGCCUCAUUCCGCCCGCCCACGUGUGUCCCAGGGCAGGCCAGGCACACCAGGAGUUGCUGUCAUUUCUUGGUUCCAGCUCAGUCGGCACAGCCUUUGGAGAAGACAUCUUGGUUUUCUUCCAUCUCUGAGAUGCAAACUGUAGGCUUUCUCUUCUACUUGUGAAUCUCUCAUCAUCUUGCCGUGAGAAGGUAUCUAGUCUAAAUGUCAGCAUGGGAAGCACAGGCCUAAGUCAGAAAACAUUCAGGUACCCAGGCGGGCUGCCUGUUGCCCAUAGAUGGACUGUUCACACAGCUAUUAACGGCAGCAGCAGCAUUCCUGGGCCCAGGAGCCCGGCCAAUAAGCUUACUCGCUCAGGCUUUGUGACAAGAAAGUCUAAGUAGCCAGGAAGUGGGAUGUUUCUAGGGAAAAGUACUACAGUCCCUCUGGGUCAGAACUCAUCCACCUGGUAUAAAUCAAGUCUUUUAAAUCAAUAAUGUUUCUGUAGUUAAGAACCGAGUCCAAUUUUAUGUAUUCCUAACAACAGGGGGUUAUUUAACUCAUGUUUCAGCCUUACUCUGAAGAAUAGUGAUGCAAUAUUCAUUGAAAUGGAAAGAUGUUCAUGUUAUAAUGUCCAGCAAACAAUCUGAUUACCCAUAGUAUGACCCCAUUUGUUAAUUAAUUUAUUUAUUUUUAUUUUGGCCACGCGGUGCAUGCAGGAUCUUAGCACGCGGGAUCUUAGUUUCCUGACCAGGGAUCGAACCCGUGCCCCAUUUGUUGUAUGUGUUCGUAUGCCUACCAAAAAACUGUGAAGGUAACAUUUUCUCUAGGUGGCUAGGUUUGUUUUGCUGUUUUUGCGUGCCUGCAUUUUCUGUCUUUCUGUACUAAACAUAUAUAACCUGUGUAUUAAAGAAAUAUUAAAAGUUCAAAAUAAAAUUAAAAGUUCAGUUCUUGAGGAAAAAAAGUAUAUUAUUAAUAGCCCAGACCUAACAGGAGAUUAUUUGAAGCCAUGUGUAUAUAUCUAAGUCAAUAAAGGAAUGUGGUUAGAAAAGAAAGGAACAGAUUUAGACUUAUCAGCUGUGUUUGGAAUUUUGAAUAACCUGCUAACCCAAGCAUGCUAUUAAGUUCCCUGUUUUUUUUUCUUGCUCAUUAAUCUCAUGCAUUCAAAAUGGGAAUGUGAGAAAUUCAUUCACUGCAGUAUGACAAUGUGAUGGAUACAGUCAGCAAACUGUAUUAACUAAGGGGAUUUAAACUUCUCAAAUAUCAUCCAAUACCCUGGCAUGGUGGAAACACCAUUGUUUGGUGAGGAAGGUGUUAACUCUAGCCAAAAAGCAAUAGUUUGUGAGAAAAUGGAUUUAAAGACUAAACUUCAGCCACGAGAGUUUUAGAAGUGUACCUCUUCUAAAAUCAUGAAAAUGGUCUUUGUCUACGUAACUUUAUGAUAAUGUAAUACAAUGUGAAUUAACAAAUAAUGGUACUGUUUCAUUAAAAAAAUGAA
Molecule: long non-coding RNA, 2055 nt
Organism: Balaenoptera musculus (blue whale)
Lineage: Eukaryota; Metazoa; Chordata; Mammalia; Artiodactyla; Balaenopteridae
Source: Ensembl